GGGUAUUAAAUUAACUUUUUGCAUCUCCCACCUAUUGUCCUAAUCCAAAUCUGCUCUAAAUAUUAACUUCUGCAUUAUCAAACCGCUUUGCUACUUAGAAUAAACAUUUCAGCACUAAUAAAUUGUUAUUGCUUUCGAAUAUAUUUGCCCAUUUGCAUUUUUAUAAAGUGCCCAUUUUAAAUUAAUUACUCAUUAAAUCAGUCUAAUAAGCUUUACCUGACUUAUAAUAUUUUCGCC
Molecule: long non-coding RNA, 237 nt
Filed under: Solanum tuberosum (potato)
Lineage: Eukaryota; Viridiplantae; Streptophyta; Magnoliopsida; Solanales; Solanaceae
Description: long non-coding RNA (STUB_LNC007941)
Source: RNAcentral